RNAcentral lists this ribosomal RNA (684 nucleotides) under uncultured bacterium. Its description in RNAcentral is "bacterial SSU rRNA". It matches the Rfam family "Bacterial small subunit ribosomal RNA", at positions 130 to 832 of the family's 1533-position model. The record is from RNAcentral.
CCCCUCCCCCGGGAUAGCCGCCCGAAAGGACGGGUAAUACCGGAUACCCCGGGGUGCCGCAUGGCACCCCGGCUAAAGCCCCGACGGGAGGGGAUGGCUCCGCGGCCCAUCAGGUAGACGGCGGGGUGACGGCCCACCGUGCCGACAACGGGUAGCCGGGUUGAGAGACCGACCGGCCAGAUUGGGACUGAGACACGGCCCAGACUCCUACGGGAGGCAGCAGUGGGGAAUCUUGCGCAAUGGGGGGAACCCUGACGCAGCGACGCCGCGUGCGGGACGGAGGCCUUCGGGUCGUAAACCGCUUUCAGCAGGGAAGAGUCAAGACUGUACCUGCAGAAGAAGCCCCGGCUAACUACGUGCCAGCAGCCGCGGUAAUACGUAGGGGGCGAGCGUUAUCCGGAUUCAUUGGGCGUAAAGCGCGCGUAGGCGGCCCGGCAGGCCGGGGGUCGAAGCGGGGGGCUCAACCCCCCGAAGCCCCCGGAACCUCCGCGGCUUGGGUCCGGUAGGGGAGGGUGGAACACCCGGUGUAGCGGUGGAAUGCGCAGAUAUCGGGUGGAACACCGGUGGCGAAGGCGGCCCUCUGGGCCGAGACCGACGCUGAGGCGCGAAAGCUGGGGGAGCGAACAGGAUUAGAUACCCUGGUAGUCCCAGCCGUAAACGAUGGACGCUAGGUGUGGGGGGACG